This 301-nucleotide ribosomal RNA is filed under the name uncultured bacterium. RNAcentral describes it as "bacterial SSU rRNA". It matches the Rfam family "Bacterial small subunit ribosomal RNA", at positions 32 to 326 of the family's 1533-position model. The record is from RNAcentral.
AAUCAACGCUGGCGGCGUGCCUCAGACAUGCAAGUCGAACGAUUAAGACUCUCUUCGGAGAGUGCAUAAAGUGGCGCACGGGUGAGUAACACGUAAGUAAUCUACCUUUGGGUGGGGAAUAACAGUCGGAAACGACUGCCAAUACCGCAUAAUGCAGCGGCUCCUUAUGGAGACAGUUGUUAAAGAUUUAUCGCCUAAAGAGGAGCUUGCGGCAGAUUAGCAGUUGGUAAGGUAACGGCUUACCAAGGCGACGAUCUGUAUCCGACCUGAGAGGGUGGUCGGACACACUGACACUGAAUAA